This 352-nucleotide transfer-messenger RNA is filed under the name Acanthopleuribacteraceae. Its description in RNAcentral is "GCA-2747255 sp002747255 Standard tmRNA". It matches the Rfam family "transfer-messenger RNA". From Rfam's summary of the family: Bacterial tmRNA, also known as 10Sa RNA or SsrA, is named for its dual tRNA and mRNA-like properties. RNAcentral also lists the same sequence under 1 other name. Lineage: Bacteria; Pseudomonadati; Acidobacteriota; Holophagae; Acanthopleuribacterales. The record is from RNAcentral.
GGGGGCGUUUUUGGUUUCGACGGGAAUUCAAGAACUUUGUACCACAUGUCGAGGCGCAUCUCCUCGUUAAAAAUUUGCAUCUAAAUGUAAUUGCAGAUAACAAUCUCGCAUUAGCAGCUUAAUGCUGCUCGGUUACCAAGUGCUGCCUGUCGUGCUGAAGUAAUUGUCAUACAAUGACUGGCUGGUUCCAAAAAACCGGAUCAGGGGUUUGCGGAACGAGACGUUCCUGAUGGGGUGUUGAGUUUUUUCUCUGUGAUUCGAGCUCUUCACCGACACCAUAAUCACAGAAAAGCAUGUAAACGUAGAGAGGGAAGGUUCUCGGACCCGGGUUCGACUCCCGGCGCCUCCACCA